AGUGAACGCUGGCGGUAGGCCUAACACAUGCAAGUCGAACGGCAGCACAGUAAGAGCUUGCUCUUACGGGUGGCGAGUGGCGGACGGGUGAGGAAUACAUCGGAAUCUACUUUUUCGUGGGGGAUAACGUAGGGAAACUUACGCUAAUACCGCAUACGACCUACGGGUGAAAGCAGGGGAUCUUCGGACCUUGCGCGAUUGAAUGAGCCGAUGUCGGAUUAGCUAGUUGGCGGGGUAAAGGCCCACCAAGGCGACGAUCCGUAGCUGGUCUGAGAGGAUGAUCAGCCACAGGGGAACUGAGACACGGCCAAGCCUCCUCCGGGAGGCAGCAGUGGGGAAUAUUGGACAAUGGGCGCAAGCCUGACCGAGCAAUCCCGCGGGGGUAAAGAAGGCCUUGGGAUUGUAAACCCUUUUUGUGGGGAAAGAAAAACAGCGGUUUAAACCCCCCCUGUCCUGACGGUACCAAAAAAAAAAGCACCGGCUAACUUCGUG
This 492-nucleotide ribosomal RNA is filed under the name uncultured bacterium. RNAcentral's name for it is "partial 16S ribosomal RNA". It matches the Rfam family "Bacterial small subunit ribosomal RNA", at positions 29 to 507 of the family's 1533-position model. The record is from RNAcentral.